Molecule: ribosomal RNA, 482 nt
Filed under: uncultured bacterium
Lineage: Bacteria
Description: partial 16S ribosomal RNA
Rfam family: Bacterial small subunit ribosomal RNA
Source: RNAcentral
AUUGAACGCUGGCGGCAUGCCUUACACAUGCAAGUCGAACGGUAACAGGUUUCUGGAUGCUGAUGAGUGGUGAACGGGGGAGUAAUACUUCGGAACGUGCCCGACCGUGGUGGAUAAUGAGGCGAAAGCUUGGCUAAUACCGCAUACGACCUACUGAUGAAAACGGGGGAUCUCCGGAGCUCGCCGGGACGUAGGGGUCGAUGGCGGAUUAGGUAGUUGGUGGGGUAAAAGCUUACCAAGCCGACGAUCUGUAGCUGGUCUGAGAGGAUGAUCAGCCACACUGGGACUGAGACACGGCCCAGACUCCUACGGGAGGCAGCAGUGGGGAAUUUUGGACAAUGGGCGAAAGCCUGAUCCAGCCAUGCCGCGUGCGGGAUGAAGGCCUUUGGGUUGUAAAGUGCUUUUGUACGGAAAGAAAAGCCUCUUUCUAAUACAGAGGGGUCAUGACGGUACCGUAAGAAUAAGCACCGGCUAACUACGUG